GUUGUAAAGCACUUUCAGUCGUGAGGAAGGUAGUGUAGUUAAUAGCUGCAUUAUUUGACGUUAGCGACAGAAGAAGCACCGGCUAACUCCGUGCCAGCAGCCGCGGUAAUACGGAGGGUGCGAGCGUUAAUCGGAAUUACUGGGCGUAAAGCGCAUGCAGGUGGUUUGUUAAGUCAGAUGUGAAAGCCCGGGGCUCAACCUCGGAAUAGCAUUUGAAACUGGCAGACUAGAGUACUGUAGAGGGGGGUAGAAUUUCAGGUGUAGCGGUGAAAUGCGUAGAGAUCUGAAGGAAUACCGGUGGCGAAGGCGGCCCCCUGGACAGAUACUGACACUCAGAUGCGARAGCGUGGGGAGCAAACAGGAUUAGAUACCCUGGUAGUCCACGCCGUAAACGAUGUCUACUUGGAGGUUGUGGCCUUGAGCCGUGGCUUUCGGAGCUAACGCGUUAAGUAGACCGCCUGGGGAGUACGGUCGCAAGAUUAAAACUCAAAUGAAUUGACGGGGA
This 505-nucleotide ribosomal RNA is filed under the name Vibrio harveyi. RNAcentral describes it as "bacterial SSU rRNA". It matches the Rfam family "Bacterial small subunit ribosomal RNA", at positions 422 to 919 of the family's 1533-position model. The record is from RNAcentral. Lineage: Bacteria; Pseudomonadati; Pseudomonadota; Gammaproteobacteria; Vibrionales; Vibrionaceae.